Cavia porcellus (domestic guinea pig) is the source of this 1410-nucleotide long non-coding RNA. RefSeq lists it as uncharacterized. The record is from RefSeq and is a predicted model, not a curated record. The transcript is spliced from 3 exons. Lineage: Eukaryota; Metazoa; Chordata; Mammalia; Rodentia; Caviidae.
CAACUGGCACCCAGCGUGGGAGAUCCUGGCACAGAGGAGUUAACGAGGAAGCCGUUCGAGAGACAGCCGGCUUAAACUGAAAGUGAAAGCAAAUUGAACCGGAGACCUCUGCUGAGGAGUGAGUAAACUGAAUCAAGGAUUAAAGCUUAAAGCUUCAGAACAUUAAAUUAAGUACCGAGACCUGCACAGACGACUACCCAACGUCUUGUCCGAGUCAUGAACACAACUCACAAGCCGGAAUCACGCACACACAUACCAAAACCACCAGGUGGAAACGAACCGGCAGAGUAUUCCACAGCGAACAUAGCCAUGUAAUGGCUACAACUAACGGCAGGAGCAACCUGCCCAACUCAGCAGGAGCGACCUGCCUACGUGAACAUAGCCGUGUAAUGGCUACAACUAACGGCAGGAGCGACCUGCCCAACUCAGCAGGAGAGACCUGCCUAUGCGAACCGGAGACACAUCUCCCUGGAGCCUUAUGCUGCUUAGUCAGCCUUCUUGAGCCACACCACACCCAUGGUGAAUUUCAACCCCUGCCAAACAGACUACAACUGCUGACAGCCAUGCACAGAACCCCAUGACUGUGGAAGAGGCUCUUCUCAGUCUGGAGGAACAUACACCACCCAAAUAGACUGCAUCCAGUGUUAUGCAAGGCAUGCUCCAAGACAUAGGAGAGAAUGACUUCAUACAGAGACUCCAACAAAUGGCUGUCAACCCCUUCUCCUUGAUUUGGGGGGGGGUUUCCCUUACCUAGUGCCCCUUUUGGGUCCCCUAGCUGCCCUAUUGCUUCUCAUUUCUGUGAAUCCUUGUAUUUUUCAGACGAUUCUGAUGUUCAUUAAUAACUGGAUAGACACAUUUAUGGCAAAGCCCAUUCAGGUACACUAUCAUCAGCUGGAGAUUGCAGAUCAACAAACCUACCAGGAAGGAAUUCCCACAGUGGCCCAUAUGAUGAUGCGGCCUAACUGCCCUGGGGCAAUGGACAGGCAGUCAGAGAAGGGCAACUAGGACAUGCAUGUUAAUUCCAAUGGCCACCUAAGACAGGCACAGGACCAACUGCUGUUCUGCAAGCCCAUGACAGGUAAGGCCUGGGUGGUUCAUGCAAUGAGGUCCUUGACCUAAGACAGAUGCUGUCCUCACAGGGCCUGCCAUACUCUUAAUUAAAUAAUAUAAAAAGGGAGGAGAUGUAGGGAGCCGAGUGACAGGCAUUGCUGCCUCCAUGCCUCUCUCUAUGGGCACUGCGUCUGCAUACAUUAACCAUAAUCCUCUCCUGUUUACGUCACAUAACCGGAUGUGACGGUGACCCUGUUUUAUUCAUCUGUUUAACCUCUUCCUGUUCCAGCUCCCGCCCUUAGCAUAGAAAAGGUGUGAUCAUUUUCUGAAUAAACUUAAGGCUUGAUUGGAUUAUCUCAA